GAUGAAGAACGCAGUGAAAUGCGAUAAGUAGUGUGAAUUGCAGAAUUCAGUGAAUCAUCGAGUCUUUGAACGCACAUUGCGCCCCCUGGCAUUCCGGGGGGCAUGCCUGUCCGAGCGUCAUUGCUGCCCUUCAAGCCCGGCUUGUGUGUUGGGUCGUCGUCCCCCCCGGGGGACGGGCCCGAAAGGCAGCGGCGGCACCGCGUCCGGUCCUCGAGCGUAUGGGGCUUUGUCACCCGCUCGAUUAGGGCCGGCCGGGCGCCAGCCGGCGUCUCCAACCUUCUAUUUUACCAGGUUGACCUCGGAUCAGGUAGGGAUACCCGCUGAACUUAAGCAUAUCAAUAAGCGGAGGA
This 350-nucleotide unclassified non-coding RNA is filed under the name soil metagenome. RNAcentral's name for it is "partial contains 5.8S ribosomal RNA, internal transcribed spacer 2, and large subunit ribosomal RNA". The stretch from base 1 to 120 matches the Rfam family "5.8S ribosomal RNA", at positions 35 to 154 of the family's 154-position model. The record is from RNAcentral.